MicroRNA precursor from Medicago truncatula (barrel medic), 256 nucleotides. It matches the Rfam family "MIR2646 microRNA precursor family". Lineage: Eukaryota; Viridiplantae; Streptophyta; Magnoliopsida; Fabales; Fabaceae. The record is from Rfam.
UCCCCAUGACAUUUAGUGUUGAUGUGUCUGUUUUUUUAUCAAUUAAUGUGAGUCACGUGUGUAAUUCCAUUUUUAAAAAAAUAAAAAAAUGGUAUUUUUCAGAUUUUCAGCACUAAAUUCUAUUGUUGGUCACGUGCCUCCUUCUCUCAAAAUCUGAAAAAUACCAUUUUUUUUAUUUUUUUAAAAAAUGAAAUUACACACGUGGCACACAUUAAUUGAUAAAAAACAGACACAUCAACACUAAAUGUCAUGGGGA